AGUGAACGCUGGCGGCAGGCCUAACACAUGCAAGUCGAACGGCAGCACAGCAGUAGCAAUACUGUGGGUGGCGAGUGGCGGACGGGUGAGGAAUACAUGGGAAUCUGCCCUGUCGUGGGGGAUAACGUAGGGAAACUUACGCUAAUACCGCAUACGACCGGAAGGUGGAAGCGGCGGACCGCGAGGCGUCGCGCGACUGG
Molecule: ribosomal RNA, 200 nt
Filed under: uncultured bacterium
Lineage: Bacteria
Description: partial 16S ribosomal RNA
Rfam family: Bacterial small subunit ribosomal RNA
Source: RNAcentral